CUAUGCUUGUGCCCUUACUCCA
RNAcentral lists this non-coding RNA (22 nucleotides) under Rattus norvegicus (Norway rat). The record is from RNAcentral. Lineage: Eukaryota; Metazoa; Chordata; Mammalia; Rodentia; Muridae.